Molecule: unclassified non-coding RNA, 341 nt
Filed under: soil metagenome
Description: partial contains 5.8S ribosomal RNA, internal transcribed spacer 2, and large subunit ribosomal RNA
Rfam family: 5.8S ribosomal RNA (bases 1-120)
Source: RNAcentral
GAUGAAGAACGCAGCGAAAUGCGAUAAGUAGUGUGAAUUGCAGAAUUCAGUGAAUCAUCGAAUCUUUGAACGCACAUUGCGCCCUUUGGUAUUCCAAAGGGCAUGCCUGUUCGAGCGUCACUUGUACCCUCAAGCUUUGCUUGGUGUUGGGCGUCUUGUCUCUAGCUUUGCUGGAGACUCGCCUUAAAGUAAUUGGCAGCCGGCCUACUGGUUUCGGAGCGCAGCACAAGUCGCACUCUCUAUCAGCAAAGGUCUAGCAUCCAUUAAGCCUUUUUUUCAACUUUUGACCUCGGAUCAGGUAGGGAUACCCGCUGAACUUAAGCAUAUCAAUAAGCGGAGGA